AGUCAUGCCAAAAGUGGGGUCAAUCACAAUAUGGACAUGGAUCAUCCAGAUAAGAUUUCCAACCAUCAAACUCACAUUCAUUCCAUGAUACCAUAGUAAGAAAUAAACAAAAAUAAAGAAAUCUACCUAACACAAGAAAUAAAAGAAAACUAAAAACAAAUAUUUACAAGUUUGAAUUCAAGCAAGUAGGCUAAAAUUCUAAACCAACUCAAUA
This 214-nucleotide long non-coding RNA is filed under the name Capsicum annuum. Its description in RNAcentral is "long non-coding RNA (CANN_LNC014003)". The record is from RNAcentral. Lineage: Eukaryota; Viridiplantae; Streptophyta; Magnoliopsida; Solanales; Solanaceae.